GGUUGUGGCUCAGGGGUAGUGCACUUGCCUAGCAUGCAUGAGGCAUGGGGUUCAAUCCCCGGCACCA
RNAcentral lists this transfer RNA (67 nucleotides) under Marmota monax (woodchuck). RNAcentral's name for it is "tRNA.Ala". The record is from RNAcentral. Lineage: Eukaryota; Metazoa; Chordata; Mammalia; Rodentia; Sciuridae.